GACGAACGCUGGCGGCGUGCUUAACACAUGCAAGUCGAACGGAAAGGCCCUGCUUUUGUGGGGUGCUCGAGUGGCGAACGGGUGAGUAACACGUGAGUAACCUGCCCUUGACUUUGGGAUAACUUCAGGAAACUGGGGCUAAUACCGGAUAUGAGCUCCUGCUGCAUGGUGGGGGUUGGAAAGUUUCGGCGGUUGGGGAUGGACUCGCGGGUUAUCAGCUUGUUGGUGGGGUAGUGGCUUACCAAGGCUUUGACGGGUAGCCGGCCUGAGAGGGUGACCGGCCACAUUGGGACUGAGAUACGGCCCAGACUCCUACGGGAGGCAGCAGUGGGGAAUAUUGCACAAUGGGAGGAAGCCUGAUGCAGCAACGCCGCGUGCGGGAUGACGGCCUUCGGGUUGUAAACCGCUUUCGCCUGUGACGAAGCGUGAGUGACGGUAAUGGGUAAAGAAGCACCGGCUAACUACGUG
This 468-nucleotide ribosomal RNA is filed under the name uncultured bacterium. RNAcentral's name for it is "partial 16S ribosomal RNA". It matches the Rfam family "Bacterial small subunit ribosomal RNA", at positions 28 to 507 of the family's 1533-position model. The record is from RNAcentral.